Molecule: long non-coding RNA, 219 nt
Filed under: Carica papaya (papaya)
Lineage: Eukaryota; Viridiplantae; Streptophyta; Magnoliopsida; Brassicales; Caricaceae
Description: long non-coding RNA (CPAP_LNC011514)
Source: RNAcentral
UUUUAUAAAUAGGGACCUCUCUUUUCCAUUUUUCUCAUCACUUUCAUUUCAUUCUUCCAUCCUCCAAGAGCUUAGAAAGAGAGGGAGUAAUCCAGAGAGAGAGGGAGUGAUCUAGAGAGAGAAUAAGAGGAGAAGAAGAUGAAAGGUAUUGGAAAACUUCAAGGUUUUGCUAAAGAAUUUAGUAUUUUCUUAAACAUCUUAAGGAACAUUGUUAGAAAU